This 276-nucleotide ribosomal RNA is filed under the name uncultured bacterium. RNAcentral's name for it is "partial 16S ribosomal RNA". It matches the Rfam family "Bacterial small subunit ribosomal RNA", at positions 335 to 607 of the family's 1533-position model. The record is from RNAcentral.
AGACCUACGGGGCGCAGCAGUGAGGAAUAUUGGUCAAUGGGCGCGAGCCUGAACCAGCCAAGUCGCGUGAAGGAUGACGGCCCUACGGGUUGUAAACUUCUUUUGUCAGGGAGCAAUUGGGUCCACGCGUGGGCUUAGCGAGAGUACCUGAAGAAAAGGCAUAGGCUAACUCCGUGCCAGCAGCCGCGGUAAUACGGAGGAUGCGAGCGUUAUCCGGAUUUAUUGGGUUUAAAGGGUGCGUAGGCGGAAGAUCAAGUCAGCGGAAAAAAUUCGGGG